CCAGUGGUGGCUCAGUUGGUAGAGCAUGGUGUUUGCAACGCCAGGGUUGUGUGUUCGAUUCCCACGGGG
RNAcentral lists this transfer RNA (69 nucleotides) under Salmo salar (Atlantic salmon). It matches the Rfam family "tRNA". Rfam says of the family: Transfer RNA (tRNA) molecules are approximately 80 nucleotides in length. Their secondary structure includes four short double-helical elements and three loops (D, anti-codon, and T loops). Further hydrogen bonds mediate the characteristic L-shaped molecular structure. tRNAs have two regions of fundamental functional importance: the anti-codon, which is responsible for specific mRNA codon recognition, and the 3' end, to which the tRNAs corresponding amino acid is attached (by aminoacyl-tRNA synthetases). tRNAs cope with the degeneracy of the genetic code in two manners: having more than one tRNA (with a specific anti-codon) for a particular amino acid; and 'wobble' base-pairing, i.e. permitting non-standard base-pairing at the 3rd anti-codon position. The record is from Rfam by way of RNAcentral. Lineage: Eukaryota; Metazoa; Chordata; Actinopteri; Salmoniformes; Salmonidae.